This 741-nucleotide long non-coding RNA is filed under the name Crocodylus porosus (Australian saltwater crocodile). Its description in RNAcentral is "lncRNA (ENSCPRG00005011464.1)". The record is from RNAcentral. Lineage: Eukaryota; Metazoa; Chordata; Crocodylia; Crocodylidae.
CUGGCUUUUCUCAGUGUGGUUUGUGUUGUAACCCUAACAGUCUGUGAGGGUGGUACACAUGGUAAUCUUUGCUGAGCAUAUCCUGAACGUCUGAUGUUUGUUUUGCUGGUUUUGAACUCUCACAUUCUGGAAAGAAAAGGGAAGUAGAAAGACAGCUGGGCAGCACAGACAUUUAUUUUACCUUCAUGUUUCCUUGUGCCCUGGCUGGGUGCACGACACAUUAAAUCCAUCAUCUUGGCAACAAUGUAUGUGGUCACAUGCCACCCUGGCUCUCUGGUCUGUCUGACAAAUACAUCAUUAGGAAUAUUUUUGGCUGCGGUGCAUCUGACACUCCACAAAAAAAGGUUUCUUGAUUGAAGGUUCUUGUACUGUAAAGAGACCUGCUGCAUCAUAAGAAAUUCUAACUUCAGUACAUCUGGAUCAGGAUGGGAAAAUCUACUAGCAAAUAUACUGCAGGCAAGAAACCCUAAACUAUUUAAAUGGUCCAACUCUUGUUCCUUCUUUAGUCAUACCAAGCUAUUUCCACCUCCAUACUGCUUCUAUAUCAGCAGACAGAGCACUGCGAGCAUGGAAGAGAGUUUCUCUGCUGUCUGUUCCAGUACCCAAUGCCACAGUGAUUUGGGCCAGUAAUCAAUCAUAACUGGGGUGGAGUAUGCUCAGGCAGAAUUUCUGGAGAAAUUAGCUGUCAAAACUACAAGCCAGGUCCUAUUCUAUCUAUAUAGGGUCUAAGUAAGAUCCAAG